UACAGAGGGGGCAAGCGUUAUUCGGAAUUAUUGGGCGUAAAGGGCGCGUAGGCGGCUUUGCAAGUGACGGGUGAAAGCCCUCGGCUUAACCGAGGAACUGCCUGUCAGACUGUGAGGCUUGAGACCAGGAGAGGUGAGUGGAAUUCCCAGUGUAGCGGUGAAAUGCGUAGAUAUUGGGAGGAACACCAGUGGCGAAGGCGGCUCACUGGACUGGUACUGACGCUGAGGCGCGAAAGCCAGGGGAGCAAACGGG
RNAcentral lists this ribosomal RNA (253 nucleotides) under uncultured bacterium. Its description in RNAcentral is "partial 16S ribosomal RNA". It matches the Rfam family "Bacterial small subunit ribosomal RNA", at positions 524 to 776 of the family's 1533-position model. The record is from RNAcentral.